GGCCUCGUAGCUCAGCUGGUGGAGCGUGCACUGUACAAAAGCGUAUGCGGCGCACAUGUGUGGGUUUGAAUCCCACUGAGGUUA
RNAcentral lists this transfer RNA (84 nucleotides) under Echinostoma caproni. It matches the Rfam family "tRNA". Rfam says of the family: Transfer RNA (tRNA) molecules are approximately 80 nucleotides in length. Their secondary structure includes four short double-helical elements and three loops (D, anti-codon, and T loops). Lineage: Eukaryota; Metazoa; Platyhelminthes; Trematoda; Plagiorchiida; Echinostomatidae. The record is from Rfam by way of RNAcentral.